Molecule: unclassified non-coding RNA, 805 nt
Filed under: soil metagenome
Description: partial contains internal transcribed spacer 1, 5.8S ribosomal RNA, and internal transcribed spacer 2
Rfam family: 5.8S ribosomal RNA (bases 130-283)
Source: RNAcentral
AUGAUUGGCCUCAGGGCCUUAUCGAUUAUUAAUCCCAACACCUCUGUGAACCGUUUUUCGGCCCUCGGGCUGAUCUUUUUACAAUACAAACAUUGUGUAAUGAGCGUCUUGUUAUCUUAACAAAAACAAACCUUUCAACAACGGAUCUCUUGGCUCUCGCAUCGAUGAAGAACGCAGCGAAAUGCGAUAAGUAAUGUGAAUUGCAGAAUUCAGUGAAUCAUCGAAUCUUUGAACGCACCUUGCGCCUUUUGGUAUUCCAAAAGGCAUGCCUGUUUGAGUGUCAUGAAAUAUCAAUCCCCUCGGGUUUUCUGAUCUGGGGUGGACUUGGACUUGGGUGUCUGCCGGUCACUCGGCUGGCUCACCUCAAAAGACUUAGUGGGAUUAGCAUCCACGGCCCGACGUAAUAAGUUUCGUCUGGCCAGGUGCAAGGCCUGCUCAUAACCCCUUGCCCACCUGGGCGUUAACACUUUUGGACUCUGACCUCAAAUCAGGUAGGGCUACCCGCUGAACUUAAGCAUAUCAAUAAGCGGAGGAAUCGGCUACUUGGUCAUUUAGAGGAAGUAAAAGUCGUAACAAGGUUUCCGUAGGUGAACCUGCGGAAGGAUCAUUACCCUUCCGGUCUUCGAGACCGCGUCUUCAACUCGCCGCAGGACCCCACGAAAGUGGCCAGAAAUGCGGACGAGGCGAAGUAACCCUUGACUAUGAGUACCUUUUGUUCCCUCGGCGGGCUCGCGCCCGUCGCUGGGCCCAUCCAAACCCCUUUGCAGUAGCAGUAUACCUCUGAUCGUGGGCACUUGAAUCUUUA